RNAcentral lists this ribosomal RNA (497 nucleotides) under uncultured bacterium. Its description in RNAcentral is "partial 16S ribosomal RNA". It matches the Rfam family "Bacterial small subunit ribosomal RNA", at positions 28 to 507 of the family's 1533-position model. The record is from RNAcentral.
GAUGAACGCUGGCGGCGUGCCUAAUACAUGCAAGUCGAGCGAACAGACGAGGAGCUUGCUCCUCUGACGUUAGCGGCGGACGGGUGAGUAACACGUGGAUAACCUACCUAUAAGACUGGGAUAACUUCGGGAAACCGGAGCUAAUACCGGAUAAUAUAUUGAACCGCAUGGUUCAAUAGUGAAAGACGGUUUUGCUGUCACUUAUAGAUGGAUCCGCGCCGCAUUAGCUAGUUGGUAAGGUAACGGCUUACCAAGGCAACGAUGCGUAGCCGACCUGAGAGGGUGGACGGCCACACUGGAACUGAGACACGGUCCAGACUCCUACGGGAGGCAGCAGUAGGGAAUCUUCCGCAAUGGGCGAGAGCCUGACGGAGCAACGCCGCGUGAGUGAUGAAGGUCUUCGGAUCGUAAAACUCUGUUAUUAGGGAAGAACAAAUGUGUAAGUAACUAUGCACGUCUUGACGGUACCUAAUCAGAAAGCCACGGCUAACUACGUG